This 993-nucleotide ribosomal RNA is filed under the name Triticum aestivum (bread wheat). RNAcentral's name for it is "partial small subunit ribosomal RNA". The record is from RNAcentral. Lineage: Eukaryota; Viridiplantae; Streptophyta; Magnoliopsida; Poales; Poaceae.
AUGGAUGAUCAGAAGGAAGAAGAUGAGGCUGAUUGGGACCAGAAUGGUCCAAACCAUGAUCUGGAGGACGUGUUUGAGAAUCUUAAGCUGCAAGGAGAGGAGGAGGAAGAUCUGGAUUUGUCCGGGGAGUUUGAAGAGUUGAUCAAGGACGUACGCUGGAUGGCGCUGUUUAGGGUUCACACCCUACGGCCGUUUAGUCAUGCCUCUCUGUUGAACUCCAUGAGGAACGCGUGGGCUUGUGCACAGGGGGUGACUUUCAACAUAAAGGGCCCCAACUUGUUCUUGGCUCAGUGCCAUUGUUUAGGAGAUUGGAAGCGUGUGAUGGAAGGGGGACCAUGGCAGUUCAGGAGGGAUCCGGUGGUGUUGGUAGAAUAUGAUGGCUUCUCGGACGUGAAAGAAUAUGAUCUGAACAUGUAUCCAUUAUGGGCUAGGAUAAAAGGUUUGCCAGACGGAUUGACGAGGAAGAAGGAGUUGGCUGAGAAGGUGGCAAAGAAGGUAGGAAAACCUCCGUUUACAGUGACUGUGAAUGAAGGAAAGAUCAAUCCGUCAAACUUCUUGAGAGUUCGGGUGUUUGUUAAUGUAACUCUGCCAUUAGUAAGGUUUGUUCAUAUUACCUUGAAGGAGAGGAAGAGGUAUUCGGUGUACUAUGAAAAACUACCUGAUUUCUGCUACUUUUGUGGUCGUAUGGGACAUGUUGUGGAGGAGUGUGGCGAUGGAGUGCAUGAUAGUGCGUUAUGUGAAUGGGGGACUGGUUGCAUUGGGUCAGCGAGCCGGUGGGCUCGGGUACACGAGGAGGUAGAGGAGGAAGGGGCGAUGGAGGGAGAGGGAGUGCUGGCCCUGCUGACGGGGGUCGAGGAGGAAGAAGGGGAGGUAGAGGUGGAGGAGCUAGAGGAGGUAGAGCAUAUGCUGCACAGGAGAGGGUUGAUGUUGAUAUUCAGAGAGAGGGAGGAGUGGAGCUGUCGGUGGGGAUGGAUAUCUUGCAAUAUAAGAUGA